GAUGAACGCUGGCGGCGUGCUUAACACAUGCAAGUCGAACGGAAAGGCCCAAGCUUGCUUGGGUACUCGAGUGGCGAACGGGUGAGUAACACGUGGGUGAUCUGCCCUGCACUUCGGGAUAAGCCUGGGAAACUGGGUCUAAUACCGGAUAGGACCACAUUUUGGAUGGUGUGGUGGAAAGUUUUUCGGUGUGGGAUGAGCUCGCGGCCUAUCAGCUUGUUGGUGGGGUAAUGGCCUACCAAGGCGUCGACGGGUAGCCGGCCUGAGAGGGUGUACGGCCACAUUGGGACUGAGAUACGGCCCAGACCCCUACGGGAGGCAGCAGUGGGGAAUAUUGCACAAUGGGCGCAAGCCUGAUGCAGCGACGUCGCGUGGGGGAGGACGGCCUUCGGGUUGUAAACUCCUUUCGCUAGGGACGAAGCGUUAUGUGACGGUACCUGGAGAAGAAGCACCGGCUAACUACGUG
Molecule: ribosomal RNA, 466 nt
Filed under: uncultured bacterium
Lineage: Bacteria
Description: partial 16S ribosomal RNA
Rfam family: Bacterial small subunit ribosomal RNA
Source: RNAcentral